This 65-nucleotide transfer RNA is filed under the name Velinus nodipes. RNAcentral's name for it is "tRNA-Tyr". It matches the Rfam family "tRNA". Rfam says of the family: Transfer RNA (tRNA) molecules are approximately 80 nucleotides in length. Their secondary structure includes four short double-helical elements and three loops (D, anti-codon, and T loops). The record is from RNAcentral. Lineage: Eukaryota; Metazoa; Arthropoda; Insecta; Hemiptera; Reduviidae.
GGUGAAAUGGCUGAAAUUUAGGCGAUAGAUUGUAAAUCUAUUUAUGGUUAUAAAACCUUUCAUCA